This 404-nucleotide unclassified non-coding RNA is filed under the name Hevea brasiliensis (rubber tree). Lineage: Eukaryota; Viridiplantae; Streptophyta; Magnoliopsida; Malpighiales; Euphorbiaceae. The record is from RNAcentral.
AGAGGAAGAUGCAAAGAUACUUGCUUAUGUAUCCAAGCAUGGGACUGGAAACUGGACCGCCCUUCCCAAGAAAGCAGGACUUAGGAGAUGUGGAAAGAGUUGUAGGCUUAGGUGGACUAAUUACCUGAGGCCUGAUCUCAAGCACGACAACUUCACACCCCAGGAAGAGGAGCUCAUUGUCAGGCUUCAUGCAGCCAUAGGUAGCAGGUGGUCUAUCAUAGCCCAACAACUUCCAGGGAGAACUGAUAAUGAUGUGAAAAACUACUGGAACACCAAGCUAAGAAAGAAGCUCUCUGAAAUGGGAAUAGACCCUGUUACUCAUAAGCCAUUCUCUCAAAUUUUAGCUGACUAUGGAAACAUUGGUUGCCUUCCAAAAUAUGGAACUAGAAUUGGGUCUCUCACUA